AUGCCCUUUGGGGUCACUAAUGGACCACCAACCUUCCAAGGAGUGGUGAAUCAACUCUUUGAACCUGAUCUUCGCCACGGUGUGCUUGUGUUUGUUGAUGAUGUGUUAGUUUACAACAAAACAAAAGAAGAACAUUUGCAACAGCUCCGACGGGUCUUUGAGGUACUGAAACAAAAUCAGUUUUUCUUGAAGCGAAGCAAAUGUUCUUUCAUGCAACAAGAACUCGAAUAUUUGGGGCACGUGGUGAGUGAAAAAGGGGUGGAAACCGGUACGGCCAAAGUCCAAGCAGUGAAGAAUUGGCCUUGCCCGAGAUCGUCCAAGGCAUUGCGUGGAUUUCUAGGUUUAACUGGGUACUACCGCAAGUUUGUACAGCAUUACGGCAUCCUGGCACGACCAUUGACUCAACUUCUGAAGAAACACGUUCCAUUUCAAUGGGGUCCCGACCAGCAAACUGCUUUUGAACUGCUCAAGCAAGCUAUGAUCAAGGCACCAGUUUUAGCCAUUCCGGAUUUUGGGGUACAGUUUGUGUUGGAAACGGAUGCAUGCAACACGGGCAUCGGAGCAGUCCUCAUGCAGAAAGAGCACCCAGUGGCAUAUCUCAGUACGGCCUUGUGCACUCGAAGUCAAGCCCUGUCUACCUAUGAGAAGGAGUGUCUUGCCAUCAUCUACGCCAUAGACAAAUGGCGCCCUUACUUGCAACAUGCUGAGUUCAUCAUCCGCACGGAUCAUCGUAGUCUGUUGCACCUUGGAGAACAACGUUUGCACACUGGUGUCCAACACAAGGCUUUUGUCAAGCUCAUGGGUUUGCAAUAUAAGAUUCAGUUCAAACAAGGUGUGGCCAAUCAAGCAGCAGAUGCACUGUCUCGGCAACACGAGGACACCGGAGUGAUGGCUAUUUCUUCAGCGACCCCAGCAUGGAUGGACAAUCUUCAACAGGGUUACACGGAUGAUCCGCAUGCUUCUCAACUCAUAGCUGAGUUAAGCGCAUCACCGCCAGGCAUGGGGAAGGGUGAAUUUUCCCUCCGAGAUGGUCUUCUUCGCUUCAAAGGCCGUAUUUGGGUUGGAGCCAACCCCUUGGCUCAGAACCACAUUAUGCAAGCUCUGCAUUCCAGUGGCAUCGGGGGACAUUCUGGAAUCUAUGCCACUUAUCAUCGUAUCAAACAACUGUUUGCAUGGACCAAAAUGAAGCAGGAUGUCAAACGAUUUGUGGCGGAAUGUCAGACCUGUCAGCGUGCCAAACCUAAACAUGUCAAGACACCCGGUUUGCUUCAGCCUUGCCCAUUCCCAAAAGGCCAUGGGAGGUGGUCAGCCUUGAUUUCAUUGAAGGGUUACCCAAAUCACACCGGCACGACAUAA
Molecule: ribosomal RNA, 1356 nt
Filed under: Triticum aestivum (bread wheat)
Lineage: Eukaryota; Viridiplantae; Streptophyta; Magnoliopsida; Poales; Poaceae
Description: partial small subunit ribosomal RNA
Source: RNAcentral